Molecule: long non-coding RNA, 39914 nt
Filed under: Ananas comosus (pineapple)
Lineage: Eukaryota; Viridiplantae; Streptophyta; Magnoliopsida; Poales; Bromeliaceae
Description: long non-coding RNA (ACOM_LNC030085)
Source: RNAcentral
AACCCAAUUCGCCACCAUAGUAUGUGCCAGUUUUGUCUCUAUCUAAAAAUUAGGGUAAACUUCAAAUACCCCACGUGGUUUCACUAAAGUAAAUAUUCGAUAAACCUAGGUAGGGUAUCUGAAGUUUUUUAUAUAUAAUUUAAUGAAAUAUUAACAUAGAAGCCAAUGAAAAGAGAAAGAUGAAACCACAUGGUACUAAAUUGAUGCACUUUAAAUCACAGGAUACUAAAGUGAGAAAGUAUGAAACCACAGGGUACUAAAAUGAUACACUUUAAACCAUAUGGUACUAAAGUUAAAAAGUGCGAAACCAUAGAGGUAGUAUUUAAAGUUUUCUCUAAAACUUAUAAUCCUCUUCUCUAAAGUUUAUUUUAUUUUUUUUAGUUUUAGUAUUAAAAAAUAUCCAACACGUUCUUUGAUUGAGGCAUAAUUAAACAUCCGGCAGCAGAUCAAGGGCUCUCCAACGGGGUGUCGUUGAGGAGCUCCUCACUGAAGUUUUAUUUAAGGGGCUUGAUUGAUUGGUACCCGAGGUAGUCCCAUAUUUGGACUGUAGUUGCUUCAUAUUUCUAGUUAAAUUUAUGUUUUAAAACAAUGAAUGAAAUGAAUAAUAUGCUAUCUUUCUCUCUAAGAAAAAAAUAAAAAAUUUCCUGUUGUAAGUCCAAUGGGCGAGAUUGGUGCAGGGAUUGCUACGGGAUUGGUUUGAGACUUGGUGGUUUAUUUUCAACUCCAUGUGACGUCCCUAGUAGUCCUACAUUGUAUGGGAACGAAAUUGCGUGUGAAGAUACAAGGACCAAAGACUCUAGUAACAAUAUUUAGACUUAAGCAUUUUAUGUCAGUAAUUUAAAUCCAACAAUUUAUUAAUGCUAAUGGUUUGGGUCGUUACAUUUAGUAUCAGAACCGAUUCGCCGGUCGGAAGUGUGAGAUGGGUCUCACAUGUGAUGCACCGAUAGUUCCACAUCGUACGGGACUAGAAUUAUGCAUGAAAAUAUAAGGAUCUGAAGUUCUAACAAUAACAACUAGGCUUAAGCAUUUGCAGCCGAUGGUUUGAGUCCAACGAAUUAUUAGUGUUGUUGGGUCAGAUUGUUACACUCCCACCUUGUGAAGAAAAACAGAACUCCAAUCGCAGUACCGAUAUUUGUCAUGUUAACUCACUUAAAAAUCAUUUUAUAUCAAUAACAACCUUUUGAUUUAUAACUUUAUGAAUAUGGUUUUAAAAAUUAGGUGAAUUUAGGGCAAGUUUGAGCAAGUUCAAGGUGGGCACUGAGCAGAUUUGGAAUAGAGGCCCUCGUGGGUAGGGACGGAUUGUAAAUCCGUACCCGCCCCGAAUCCGUGACGGGUUGAAAUCUUCUUCUUCAUACCUAUCCCGCAACCCUAUUUACGGCUUUAACGGGCCGGAUUAGGGAUUAACGGACUCGAGAGAUGGAUCCAAGACCCGAUAUGUCCAAACUCUUUCAAAUAUAGAGGCUCUUUUUAGGUAUGCAAUUGGGGCGGUCCGCGGGCCAAACUUUUUUAAAUUAGCGCAAUAUUAUCUAAAAAACAAGACAAAAAUAUACAGACUUUAUUUAAACUAUAAAUUAUUUUGAGUUUGCUAUCCAAUAUUUCAAAAUUUCGAUUUUAUUACCCAAUCUUUUAAUUUUUUUGAUUUGAGGUGGUUUGCAGGCUUUGACUUCAAAAUUUGAAUUUGUCAUUUUUCUUUACAAAUUUAGUUAGUAUAUUCCAUGCAAUUCUCAUAACUGUAAACUCAUUAAAGUAAGUAAUAGCUUAAUGACUAACUUAAAUCAAAUAAAUUAAGAGGUUGGGCAGUAAAAUCAGAACUUCGUAUGUUUUUAUCUUAAAAAAAUUACUUUUCUCGGCCCAGAUUCGGCUCAUCCGUGUUGUUAAAUAGAAAAGUUUAAAGCUUCUGAUUUGACGGAUUGUUACGAAGUUUCGUGGCGUCACGAAACCAAACGUAAAGUCCAUUUUGGGGCUUCCUCUUUUGUAGCAAAACAAAGCUCCGGUAUUACGCGAACAACAUUACACCCUACAGCAAGACGGAACAGGGUCUUGAAUAAUUUAUUGGUUUUGUCAAGGCCCAUUAUAGCUCAACCUGACCCGACCCGUUUAAAAACAUCGCGAAUCGGGCCGGACCGGCCGGCAUUGGGGCCCGGCCCAUUAGCUACCUUUUUUAAUCAACAUUGCAAUUAAUGCUUAAACAACUAUUGCUCCAAGGAGUUCUAGGAAGGAAAAUGAUUUAAAAUAUGGAGAAAUAUUCAAAUUAGAGUAGAUUUAGAGUGCAAAUUAAGUAUCAAAAAUUUAAAAGGAUAAUCCUUUUGAAAUUGUGCUAACAUAUUCCCGUUGCUAGUAUUGCAGAUAUACUCCUCAAAGUAUACGUAUUCGUCUGUAUAAUCUGAAGUAAAAAUUCACACUCAAUCUCACUCGAACGUUGUUAUAUAGUUUUACUUUUUUUAUCUUAAAAAAAAAAAAAUCCCAUCUCUAACAUUUUAUCAUCAAUACAUAGAGGGCCAAAAAGUAUUAGUAUAUUGCAAAUCAAAUUGUGUACACCUUUUUGUGUGCUCAAUGUGUUUCAUUUGUUUUUAAUUAUUAUUUUUAGCUUUGUACUUGGAUUUGGUGAGCCACUAUUGACCAUAUAUUGUCAAAAUCCUUCAACUAAUUAAUGUAGCUUUUAGACUUUUGAUUUGUUGGAAUCCAUGUACAAUAAAAAAUGGUGAACUUUUUUUUUUUUUUUUUUUUUGGGUUAAAGUGAGCAUUAAUUCAUUGACUUAGUUGACCUUGUGCUUUGAGACACUUUUAUUUUAAUGGCCAUUGCUUUGUGAUUAAGAUAGUAAAACAUGUUUGGUUCACCUAAACUAUAUAAUAUUAUUUAAUAAAGUAUUGUUUCAGUAAUAUUACUAGAAAAAAAAAAUAUUAUACUAAAAUACUAAUUUUUAUUUUUACAGCACAAUCAAAAAUAUUAAAUAUAAGUUUUUGAUUUCGACGCUCGAAAAACAGUUAUGUUUUUAGCUACAAUAUAAAAGCAGAAGCAGAAGCAAAAACAAAAGUAGAUUGAAAAAGAUCUUAGAGUCCUUGUUUUGUAGCAUUUAUAUGUUUAUACUCAUUAGCGAGUAUGUCUUCUGCGCUUUCGAAAGCACGGAGAUCUCUUUAUUUAUAAAUUAUUUUCGAUGAUGUGAUAUCCGAUUUGACGAUCGGCUCCGUUAAAUAUGAUUUACACUAUUAGAAUCAUUUAGAAACCAAAUUUUAUAAAUUUUCGACAUAUCUAUCAAAUAAUCAAAGGGUCUCAAAAAUAACUAUUUUAACAGUCAAUCUAACACGUUUGUAAGUUCAACAGUAUAGAAAAAUUCAAAUUAUAUUGAAACUUUAAUAAAAAAUUUUAUUUAAUAUCAAGAGUAAGAACAAUACUCUCGAUUUAAAAUUUAAAUUUUUUAUUAUUAUUUUUUAUCAGAUUUUUAUUUUUAGUCGUUCAUUUUGAGGCUUUUCGUUCACUAGACAAAUGAAAUGAAAAAAUUAUAAAAUUUAGUCUUUAUAUAGUUCUAAUAGAGUAAUUUAUACCUGACAAAGCCGAUUGUCGAAUUCGAUAUCCCAAUAUCGAAAACAAUAUAGGAGCUUAACUGACUCAUUAACUAUAUAUUAUUAAUUUAUUAUUUACUUUUUUUUUUGUUAAAGAUAAUAAAACUUUUUGUGCUUAGUGUUUUGUUUAAAGUGACACAAUGCACUUUGUUGGUGCCUUUUGCUUUUCCAAACCACAAUUUUUAAAAGAGUAAUAAUAAUAAAUUAAACCUACUUUUUGAUACGAGACCAUUUCCACAUUGACUCGUUGACCGUUGACUCGUUAAAUUAUUUUCUCUUAUCAAGUAAGGAAAUUGCGUUCAAACUUAAUUUAUUCUUUUUUUAAUAUUAUUUUAUUUAUAAUUAAUUUAAAAGAUAAUCGCAUAGACACCCUCCUAAACUUUAAAAUUUUGGUAAAAUGCCCACAGACCGUCUAAAUCACCCUCUUUGGAUAAUAUAUGAAUUAACAACAUAUACUAAUUUCGAAUAUCCAAGUCAGAUUUCGAAUCGGAAUCUGAACCCGAAUCCGAAAUAUUCUUAUAUAUCUAUAUUUGAAUUCGAAUUCGAAAAUACUGUAAAUACAACAUCCUAAUUUGAAUCCCGAAUUCGAUCGGAUGCAUAAUUUUGAGAUCCUAUGCGCAUCUGAUCAAAUCCUAAGCCCUAAACCCUAAAUCGAAUCCGGUGUCGGAUUCGAUCGGAGCUUAUCCUAACCACUUUCACACCUAGAUGAGAACACAAACUAGCAAAGUACACAAAAAAAAAAAGAAAAAGAGUUCCACAUGGGGAGAAUUUAGCACCCAUGACUUUUGAGAAAUACAUGAUACAAAAUAUAUAUGAAAGAGUAAGGAAAGAAUCCUAAAUUUGACCUUUUGAAAAAGAAAAAAUAUAAAAGUUGACUUGGACUGGUAAAAGUUUGACCACAAGAGAGAGAGAGUGAGAAUGUUUGACUUUUUAUAUAUUUUAAACACCAUGUAAAUAGCAAACUAGGGUUUAGCUGACUCAACAACUGUAUUAUUCUGCAGUAGAGUAUUAUACGUAUAAACAUUUAUAAGAAAUAUAAAAUGUUAGAAUAUGUAUUUACACAUCUAAUAAGAAAACCUAGUUUGCUAUUUACACAAGAUAUAUGAAUAUUUACACAAAUAUAUAUACAAGUUUUAAUCUAAGAUUCUUUUCAAGUAGAGAGGCUACAAAGAUAUGAAAAUAUUCACAAAACCUAAGCUAAACUACUCAUCAUCUAUUAAAUUUUUCUUAUGCGAAAUUUUUACAUCGGGUUCACGAAUACGACCGGAUCGAUCGAAAGCUCUCGAACCGGUACCCCUUGAAGAAGCUGGCGAAAAGAAAAGCGGCGAAACUCAGUGCAGCAGGGGGCUUGUUGCUGCUGCUACUGAAAGGGUUGUGUUUGAUCCUCAGGAUUUUGUGGCCGACUCUCUCGCGUAUCGACUCGAUCGUCUUGGCGUCGAUGGGGUUACCGGCGUUCUCGGUGAGGUAGAAUGUGUCGAGCGCUUCCCCGCCCCGCGUCGAUAUGUUGGCUCUCCGAAUCGUCAAGCCGCUCUCGCGGAACACCCUCGUGAUCUCCGAUAGUAGCCCGACCCGGUCCUCGGUCCUCACCUCCAAUUCCAAUCCCUAUGAACACACAACAAAAACAAAAUUUGUCACUUUCGAGGUCUGUCGGUAAUGUAGGUCAUAAGAGGGACCUCGAUGCAAUUUCAUGCGAUAAAGUGAUAUUUUGGGGAUACAGCAAGUCACAAAAGAGGAUUCUAGGGCACGGCAUUUCGACUCUUUACCUCCGAUGUCCUUCGCUCGAUGGCGGCCUCGAGGCAUUGGAUCAAGCGUUGCCUCUCGGCCUCCGAUCGUAGCGGUAGCCCAUCGACAUGUCGUAUAUAGUAUUCCUGCAACCAAAUAAGACACUUACUUGCGAAUAUGUUUCCGUUUCGUGCGAAAUAGGGUUUUAGAGAAAUGUUAUGGAGAUUUUUUUAUACCUGGUAGGCUUCUUCCGUUCCCGAGUCAACCGUGCCGUGAUACACGACGUAGUCCAUGUCGGUGAGCGUGCAAACCGUGUCGAAAAGAAGCUUGGGCCGAUCCUUCGAUCGGAUGAUCACCACUGUGUAGUCCUUCUCGGGGCAAUCCAUCACCGCAACGUUCGUCCUCGAGCUCUCGCUCCCGCCCUCGAACCUCUUUCUCGCGUAGUCCCGAUCGUCGAACAUCAUUUGGUGGAGCCUCCUCUCCUUGUGCGUCCCCCCCCUCGAGACCACGGUUUUCGCGGCAUGCGACUCGUAGUUGCCACCGCUCCCCUUGAGGAUGUUGCAUAGGCUAUUCUUGAUCACGGCGACCCGCGCCUGGUCCUCGACUGCUAGACCAGUUGGAUCGUCAGUGACCUGCACGACGGCCGCAACGCGGUUGCUGUGGGUCCAAACCUCGGCGCUCACGACGCUGCAAUUGAGGUUGUUGAGCACCGCGCAUAUCUCCGAGAGGAGGCCGGGCCGGUCAGGGCCGACGAGCUCGAUCGACGUACAAUCCUUCGAGCUCGAGGGGACUAUGCCGACCGAGUUUCGGAAUUUCGGGAAGAAGCAUUCGUCCGACUCGAGGGUCUACGCAAAUACGACCCAAAAAAACAUUUUUCGUAAGCGAAUCAUAUACAAACAUGACAAGAUAAGUCGACACAACUUCGAUGCAAGCGUCGUAUAUUAUAAUUGAGCAUGGUUCUGAGUUCAAAUCCCGCCAAGUACGAAUAAAUAAAUAAAUAAACAUAUCGAGAAAAUUACGGUUUGGAUGUAGGAGAUGAUCUUCUUAUCGAGAAUUUUGUUGCCGUCGCAGUCGAUCACGUUGAACACUAAAACAAUCAAAAGAAGUGAGAAAUUUGUGAGUACGAAAUCUCGAUAACAAAAAUUUGAAUUAUUUUUUUUUCAAAUUUUUUUUGAAUUUAGUUCGAGUUUUUUCGAAAUUUUACCAUCCAUAAACCAGCUCCCAUCAGAAGAAAUAUAAGCUUUGGUGAUCACAAGAUUAAGAUCAGCAAUCACUUGCACAACCUCAAGGAGAGUCCCAUGCUUAUUUACACUAUCAACCUGAUUCAAAAAUUUUAAAAAAUUUUAAAAAAUUAAUGAACUUCAAAAUUUUGCAACAAAUGUGAGAAUUUGAAUGUUUGGUGUAGUGUAUAUAUUGCCAAAAAAUUGGAAAAAAAUGAUGAACAAGGUUAAAUUUACCCGAAUCACCGUCGCGGUGUCGCAAGCAUCAUUAUCUAUCACAACCCUAAUGCAAAAAAAAAGGAAAAAAUAAAUGGUUAGUGAAGGAUAAUUAUGUAUAUGAUGAUUAUCUAAGAGGGAAUUAACUCAUCAAUUUAUUAUUAAAUAAAAAUAUUUCUAACAGUAUAUUCUUAAUUUAGAAAAGAUACAAGAAAAAUACAAAAAAAAAAGAAUGUAACUUAAUUUAGAAAUAUUUUUAUUUACUAAUAAAUUGAUGAGUUAAUUCCCUCUUAGAUAAUCAUCAUAUACAUAAUUAUCCUUCACUAACCAUUUAUUUUUUCCUUUUUUUUUGCAUUAGGGUUGUGAUAGAUAAUGAUGCUUGCGACACCGCGACGGUGAUUCGGGUAAAUUUAACCUUGUUCAUCAUUUUUUUCCAUUUUUUUAGCAAUAUAUACACUACACCAANUUUGAAGUAAAAAAAUUUGCUUUAAAUAAACACAAAUCUCAAAACCAAAAGCACCAAAACAUAACAUGGGUAUUAAAAAGAAAACAAAAAAAGGUAAAAUAAAAAGAAUUAAUUAAAACAACAAAAAUCUCAAAUCAAACUACAAAAAAAGAAAAAAAAAAUCGAAAAAACAAAACACACAAAGAAAAAGAUAAAAAUCUAAAAUCCAAACAACUCCUAAAUUGGAAAAAAAAAAAAACCAAAAUCAAACUAUAAAAAAUACCACCCAAAAAGUAAUAAACCAAAAAUCCAAUUAAUACUAAAAUUAAAUUAAAAUAACAAAAAACCCAAAUCAUACUACAAAAAAAACCAACCCCCCAAAAAAUAUAACAAUCCAAAAAAAUCUAAAUAACACCAAAAUUAAAAAAAUAAAAAACCCAAAUUAAACUACAAAAAAUGCCCCGUAAUAAUCCACAAAAAAAAACCACAAUUAAACCAACAAAAAACCCAAAUAAAACUAAAAAAAAUGUCCCUAAAAAACCCAAAAAAAAAAAGAUUAACAUUCCAAAAAUCCAACUAACACUAAAAUUAAAUUAAAACAACAAAGAACCCUAAUUUCAAACUAGAAAAAAAAUACCCCCAAAAACACCCAAAAAAAGAUAGAGAAUCUAACAUCCAACUAACACUAAAAUUAGAACAACAAAAAAACCAAAUCAUACUACAAAAAAAAAAAAAAAACCAAAAAACCCAAAAAAUAUAUUAACAAUCCAAAAAAAAUCCAACUAACACCAAAAUUAAAACAACAAAAACCCUAAUCAAGCUACAAAAUAUUACACCCCCCGAAAAAAAAUAAAAAAACUAAAAAAACUAAAAAAAACUAAAAAAAAAAAUUACCUUGGUGGGUUCAUCUUCCUUAUGAGCUUAGAAUAUUCAUCAUCAUCCACUUCUCCAACUGUUGAGCUCCCCAUCUCCUCCCCAACACCACCAAAAAUUAAACUAAAAAUUAAAAAAACCCAACUUUAGAGAGAGAGAGAGAGAGAGAGAGAGAGAGUAGUGUUAAUGUUAUGAAUUGUUAUGAAUUGUGUGUGUGUGUGUGUAAUUGUGUGUAUGCGUUUUGAAGAGGAAACAGGGGAGUAUAAAAAGCAGGGCCUUUUGGGAACGGCUCUUGGAAUUUCUAAUUAAUUAAAUUAAAUUUAAUUUAAUUUAAUUUAAUUUUAAUUACCAUUUUUUGUUUUUAUUAUUAAUAAUUUUUUAAUAUUUUAAUAUGGGGGGUUUAUUUUUGGUAUUUUUAUUUUAUUUAUUUCCAAAUAGAUAGAUUACGUUUCCCACCACCCACCCACCCGCGUGGUGACGUGUCAGACUCCCAUUGGUUCUGGGUUCUCUCUUCGGUGGGAGAGUGAUAUUUCCACUCCGCUGAUAUUUAUUGCGCUGCGAUUUGGAAUUGGUAAAAUUGCAUGAAGAACCCUGCACUAUGGAACAAUUUGAACUUCCUAUAAAAAAAUGUUUUAUUUUCACCUAUUUUAAUUUAAUUUAAGUUUUUUCAGGUAGUUGAUUUUUUUUUUUUUAAACAAGGGUCAGAAAUUUAUUAUAUGAUGAAUAAUUUAUUUAUACUUAUUUAUAAGAGUUAUAAAAAAUUAGAAAGAAAUAGAAAAAAAGAGCUUACAUAAAAAAAAAGUAAAUUAAGAAAAAAAACCAUAAAAAUAUUGCUGUCAAAUAUAAUAAAAUUUAUAAUUCAAUUCAUUAAAAAAUAAAAAAUAAUUAAAAAUAGUGAAGCAUCCUGUUAAGGACAGUUCUUUUCUACAAAAAAAAAAAAAAAAAUCAUAUUCGAACCGGCUAGACUGUAAUCCAGUGCUCAAACUAGUUUGAUUCAACCAACGAAAUCGGACCGACUCAAAACUCACUUUGACUAGUUCAGUUAAAUAAUCCGGCUCUAUAUUACAAAGAUCUUUAUAUUUUAAUAAUAAUUCAAAAAUAUGUAUUAGUUUUUUAAUAUUCUAUACUUUAAAUUCUUUAAAUUAUCUAUAAAUAAUAAUUUAAGAAUAAUAUGGAACACUAUACUUAUAUAUAUUUUUUAGUUAUAUAUAUAUAUAUAUAUGUAGUAUAAAAACAAAUUAAAUAUAUAUAAUAUCAUACUGAUGUUGAAUCAUUGGUCAAACCAAUAACUUGUGACCUGACUUUUCGAAGCGUAAAAGGUUCUAAAUUUUAAAACACAAACUAAAGAAUAAAAGUCAAGAGUCUAUCUCAAAAUCUUCUAUAGCUGAGGGGUCUCAAUGCUAUUUCACCUAGGUACAGGGGGGAGGAAUGAGUUGGGGUGAGAAUAUCAGAGAUUCGGGCCCGGGCCCGAAUCGCGGGUGAGAAGGUUCCGGUUCCCGGUUCUCCCACACGUGGUCGCACCGGUCGAACCGAACCGAACCACCUCAUACAGUUUAGACGCUACGGUGGACCCGGUCCGACCGGUGCCGGUUUUUUCGGGGGCAAACCGGGCCGACACCGGACCGGGUGUCCACUUCAUGUUGGAGUGUUGGACUCAUGACCCACCCAAACACUUCUAUAAAUUCUUUUUUUAAAAAAAAAAUUAUUUUUUUGGUAAAAAUGCAUGGAGACCCCUCAAUUAUAGGCGAUUCUGAAACAUCCCCCUCAGUGGCUACUUUGUAUAUUCGAUUUUUUGUUUUCUUUCAUAGUUGACCUAUUUUUCUAAAUUGAAGUGUUAAAUGUAACAGCAAAAUUUGUAAUUUAAUUGCAGAGAAGUAACGUGGAAACAAUAGAAUUAUAAAUGUAGAGAUGUUGUUAUUUUGUAUGGAUAAGACGUGUUCAGAAAUUAACUCAUAAAAUAAUAAACUAAAAAUAUACAUAAUUUGUCUGAACUAUGGAUCAUUUUGAAUCAGCUACUCAAUUUUUCGAAAUUCUAAUUUUGUUGUCCAAUUUUUUAAUUCAUUUAAUUUGAAUCAGUCAACGAUGCUUUGAUUUUAAAAUUCAAAUGUAUUAUUUAUCUUUACAGAUUAGUUAGUAUAUUUCAUUCAAUUAUUCUUGCAACUAUAAAUUCUUUUAUAAAAAUUAGCUUAAAUUUUUGAAGUCAAAUUUUAGCGUCCUCAACGACUAAUAUGUUUAAGUAGAGGUAUAGCAUGCAAAUCGCAAUAUCCGGAUAGUAUAGGGACUGUUUACACAUUUUCACCUGUUAUUUUUAGGAAUAAUUUCAUAGAUGCCCUUCUAGAAACUAUUAAUUUCAUCAAUACCCUUCUAAAAUUGAUAAUAUCACCAAUACCCUCCAAAUAUGUAAAAAUUAUCAUAAAUGCCCUCUAUUAGUUUAGAUCCGUUAGGUCCCAUUUGAAACGGAGUUAAAUUUUUAAAAUACCAUUUUUACCCUUUAUCUCUUAUUAAUACUUAAUAAUAAAAAUACUAAUAGGUAUUUUAAGAUAAUUUUGUAAAUCUAAAUUUGAGUAUUUAAUAUAUACAUAUUAAAUUAAAUCAUUAAUAUAUAUUAAUUAUUAAAAAAUAUAUAAAAAUUAUAUUUUAUAUAUAGUAUGUUUUUAUCUAAUUUUGGUUUUGUUUUUAGUUUCGGAUUUCGGUUCAAGUUCAGUUUAAAUAUAGACCAAAUGCAUAACUGAAUUUACAUACGAUGGGAUUUUAUUUUUUGAUAUCUAUAACUGAAACUAUUCCUAUUCAGCAUUGAUUAAGCUUACCUCAUUUUAAAUCGAGUUAGAUAAAAUUGCGUAUCUUUAUCAAUUUAUAUUCCUAAUUAGUAAUAGUAAUUUUGAAAUAAAUUAUAGAUUUUAUUUUUUUCCUAUUUAAGCAAAAGUAAAUCACAUAACUAUAUGCAUGAAUUAUUCUGUCGAUUGAAACAAAAAUAGAGUUUUUGUUCGAAAGCUAAAAUAUAUUAUGUUUCAGUUUUUUAAUGCAUUUAAUGCAGAUAAAAUUAUCGAGAAUAAUUUUGAUUAAAAAAAAUUUUAACUUUCAAAAUUAAAGAAAGAUCAGAUAAUUUUUUAACAUUAUUUUCAUUUAAAUUUUUAUAUAUAAUUAUUUAUUCGAUAAAAUAUAAAUAGAGCGACUAGAUUUGGUGAAAUUAUCAAAAAAAAAACUAAAAAAUUCUCAUUUUUUUCAUACACUAAAAUGGAUAUCAACUAAAAAAAUAAAGUUGAGGGAGCAGUUUCAAAAUGGCAUAAGUUGAGGGGAUCUCCAUACAUUUUUUCUUAAAAGAACCUUGAGGGUAAAUGAGUCAUUUUAAAAGUUAACCCAUCUUUAACCCUUUAAUAACUAUGGUAAAACUAACUUAACUAACAGUAAGGGUAUUGAUGAUAAUUUUCUGUAUUUACAGGGGUAUAUGUGAUAUUUUAAAUUUUAGAGGGACAUCUAUGAUAUUUUAGACUUUGAGAGGGGUAUCCAUGAAAUUGCCCCUUUUUUUUAUAUGAAAAUAAUAGUGGAUAAUAUAUUAUGGAUAUAUUGAUAAUAUAUUAUUAUAUAAUUAAUAUCUCAAAUUAUUCCCUUCUAUAAUAGAAUUAUAUGUCAUAUAUGUUGCAAAAUUUGGUAGCAAAUUUUAUCUCAAAUAUAUGGGGGCAAAAAAUAUGUUAAUUGUUACAUUUGCUUCUAUAAUUGAUUUAUUGAAUAAUAAAUUUAGGAUAGGGAUUAAUUUAUUAAAUUUUCCUUCAUGCAUAUCCAAAAGUAAAGCUAAUUUAAUCAAAGAGUGUUGUUAUGUGUAAUUAUUUCCAUAACUGAAAUUUUUAUAGAUUUGGAAACCAUAUAUGAAAUUUAAUGCAAUUAAGAUAAUGGAUUAACUCUAGGAAUUAAGGUAACUGGGCAAUUAAUUAGAGGAAAUAAAAACAAAUAUGUUAAGAUAGAUUUAAAAUUGAGUGGAUAAAUAAGGAGAUUUAGUGACAUAUAUAGAAAAAAAUAAAAUUAAAAAACAAAAAUUAGACCUAACAAUUUGAGAGAUUCAAUAUUUGUGUUGAACACAAAUGGUUAUGGUAAUUAAUCUCAAAUUUAUAGUAUCUUUAUUUAAUUUGUGGAAUUAAUAAUUGAAGAUUCAUCCAAAAAAAAUUAAAAGGAGAUUAAUGAAGAAUUGUUACCAUUUUGUAGAGGUGAUAAUUAGGGAUGUAGAAUUUAGAAUUUUUAGAGUUUUCUUUUUUUUUGUGGCUUAAGGAAAAAUAAUAAUAAUUUCUGAGAGAAUUAUACGUAGAAUAACUGCUUCUAAAAUAAUUUCUCUACUGUCCUCGAAAAGUUUUGAAAAAAUAGUUUUCCGGGAAAACGUCCUUUUCCACUGUUUUUGUUUUAUCGGAUUAAAAAUUUGAAAAAUGAAAACACUAGUAAUUUAUAAAAUAUAGAAAUUAUUUUCAAAAAAUAAAAAAAAACUAUCUUUUUUUGAGAAAACAAACUUAUUUUCUAGGUUAUUUUUUGAGAAAUCAAACACCCCCUAAAAUAAGUUUUGAAACUUUUGCUUUUAUUGGAGGAAAAAAAAAUGUCAGUGAGAUUUGCACCAAAAAUCUACUAGUACUUCUUCAAACAGUUGUAUUCGAUCAAAAUUUUGUAGAAAACUUUAUAUGUGAAAAAAAAAAAAUUGUCGGUGAGAUUUGCACGAAAGGAGAUCUGUUAGUGCUUUUUUGAACAGUUUUAUUCUAAUAAAACUUUUGUAUAAAGCUUUUUAUAGAAAAGUUGGAUUUUAACUGCAUAAUGUGAAAACCACAAGUGCUUAUUAAUUAGAAUAUUAGAACCUUCCAAUAUUAAUAUUUUUUUGUUUAUCGAAGUUAACUAUAAUUUUCCACAACAAUAGAUCAGCCCUAAAACUUUUGUUUAUCAAUCACUUGGAGAAACUUCAUUUUCGAAGCCACGCCGAAGAAAAACACUUUUGAAAAAGAAUUAUUCAAAUUGGAAUUUUCAAAGAAUUUUCAUUUAGUGUUCACCCCACAUUAAUUAAACACUAUUUUCUCUCUUUUUUUAAUUUUAUAUUUCUUUCUUUUUUCUUUGGCAUACCUCAAAGUGAGCUAUUUUUUCUAAGUCCAAGAUUCACAUAAAUUUCAAUUUUGUGUUUUCAAACCCACAAAAAAAAUGUCAAAAACAAGAAUUUAUAUAUGGCAUUACAUGUAUGAAUAUAUGAUCUAUCAAGCAUCAACCUUAAUUUGUCAUAAAAUAUGACUUUUAGGGCCAUUAAAUGUCCCUUUUUUCAAAUUUUGAUUUGUUUUCAAACCAUGUAUUUAAUUAAUGAAAAGCUCAUGCAAUGCUUCUUUUCUCUUCUUGAUUGUUACUUGGUGAAAUUGAUAGACUAUUAAUGUUUCUGAAUCUCCGGCAUAAUCUAGAACGAAGAUAAGAGCAGAAACAUAUAUAAAAAAAAGAAGGAAAUUUUUUUUUUUUUUCACACUGCAGAAGCUAGCUUUUUUAAAAGUGUUGUUUGAAAAAGCUAUAUAAUUUUUUGGCUAAUAAAAUCGUCCGUACAAGCACUACUAUAUAUGUUGAAUAUAAAAAAUAUAAAAAACACCAUUUUAUACCAGCUUAGAUUUAUGAAGAAAAAUAUUAUUUUGUAUAAUUUAAGGCUUUUGUUUUUAAGAUCCAUAUUAGAACUCAUUUGAGCAUCCUACUCUUGGGGGAAAAAAGAAAAAAAGAAAUAAAAACUUCUGAAUUGUAUUUGUAAAAACACCUAACUUUUAUUAUUUUAUAAUUAAAGCUGUUUCGAAAUCCUAGUUAAAGAGAGAAUAAAAUAACUAAUAAAAAAGAAUCAAGGCACCCUUGAAAUAUAUAUAGAGAGAGAGAGAGAGAGAGUGUUGAGUUAGAAUGCUGUCGAUAGCAAACAGACUCUAUUGUUAACCAUUUAUUUUCGAUGAUUGAGCCUCCUUCUUGUAUAAUUUUUUGUCAUUGUUUUUUUUCUUUUUUCUUCUUCUGUAAUUUAUUUUUGUCACGCCUUUCCACCAACGGCCACGGUCCAGACGACGACGCCGCCAAGGACCGCCGCUCCGAGGCUGCGGUGCCGCAGCAACCUCCACGGCGUUGGCGUUGACGUUGGCGGAGAGGCGUCGUCAUCGGAGGCAGCGAAGGAGGGAGAGGAGGGAGAGAAAGAGGGCGAGAAGGGCGGGGAAGGGUGAGAGAGGGCGAGAGAAGCGUUAUCGUCGAGACAGUGGUGGAAGGUCGGAGAGGUAAAAAAAAAAAGAGUCGCGGCUCGGCCUUGGCGUUAUCAGAGGCGAGGGGGAGUGCACAGGCGAGGCGAGGGCAUGAGAGUGAGAGACAAGACGGGCCGUUUUCUCCUUCGCCUCUGCCACCGCUGUCUUCGAAGAAAAAAAAAAUGAAUAAGAGAAAAAAAAAAAAAAAGAGAGAGAGAAAAAAAAUAAUAAAUAAAUGGAAGAAAGAGGGGAAAAAAAAGGAAGAGAGAGGAAAAAAAAAAAAAAAGAGAGAGAGAAAAAAAAUAAUAAAGAUAUUUUGAUUAAUUUGUAAAAAAUUCGGACCGAAUAUGGAAUAUCGAAAAAGACUGUCUAAUUUCACAAAAGCUUAAAAUUUAAUAGAUUUUCUACACAAAUUGGUCUAUAAAUAUUUAUAUAUUUAUAUUUAUCCAUGUUGUACACAUGGAGAGUCAUAAGGAGGGGAUAAGGAAAAGUGGCAUGUUACGUGUGCCACGUCACCCUAAUCUAACAAGUGUCCUCGUCGUGAUAAUGCCUAAAUACGUACGUAUCCCCGUAAUCUACGGAAUGGUGUAGUGGCCACGUCACCACAAAUUUAAAUUUUUAGUCUAAUAUAAAAAAAUUAAAAAUUUAAACAUACUAUCAUAAAAAAAAUUAAUAGAAAUUUCAAUAUGACCUAAUAUUUGGGCUAUAUCAGGACCUCCGUGGGAAUAGGAAUAUUUAAACCUGCCAAAUAGACGGAUUAAAUAAUCUGCAGACAGAUCAUUAUACUCGUGAGUUAUUUCAGUAUGAAUAAAAUUUAUUCUUAAAUUUUUUGAUAGCCAAUAUCUUUAUCCAUACCAGUAUGCAGUUUGGCUGGUAGGUAUGCGGGUUACCCGUAAAUUUUUUUUUUUCUCUUAUAUUUUUUAAAUGCGCACACACACACACAUAUAUAUAGUUUUAAAGACGUAACAUAACUCAUUAUUUAAAUUAUCAUAAUAUACAACAAAAAUAUUUAAAAUCUUAGAGUAAAAAAAUUUCAUAAUAUAAAAGGCACGUGAUAAGAAAUUAUAAUUAGAAUUUUUAUGACGAAUAAAUAAAAAUAUAUAUUUUUUGAAAUUUUAAAAAAAUAUUUUUUAAUUAAAAAAUAUAUGUGUGAAUAUCCGUGGGUACCUACGGGUUACCCAAAAUACCCACAACUUAAUGAGUAUCUAUCCGUUUUAUUCUUAAUUUUUUUAGGUUGAAAAAAUUAGUACUCGUACCAAUAAAUUUGUAAGUAAUCUGUUGGUACCCACGCGUAUGGAUCGAGAUUGGCAGGUCUGAAAAUUUUAGAAAUUAUUUUUUUAUUAUUACAAAAGAUGGGGGAUGAAAUUGAGAUUAAUAUACCCGGGAGGACGUGGACGUGGACGUGGACGUGGAUGGGCCUGCUGUCUCUACUUUACCUGCUCUGCUAUCAUCGCUUGCUACGCUCUUCAUAUUAAAAUAUAAAUAUAUGCAAAUAUAUAAAAACAUAUUUUUUUUCUAGAACACUUUAUUGGAGAACAUAGCACAUAGAAAGAUGUUGGAACCCUAAUUUAACUAAUUUGUGCCCCACCAUUCCACCAACCCAUUUUUGAGGUGGCACAAACCCUACAUUAAUUGGAUGUGGUGAGAAAUAUCAAACUUUUUCUCACCCUUUAUUCUCUUUGCCCAAUCCCUUGCAAAGGGACCCACAAUGUACACCAACAAGUGUUACACAUUUGCACCAAUCAAUGUAUCAUAAUAUAUCACAUGGGCCCCCUCUAUGUAGCAUAUGAUAUUUUUUUUGCUAUGUUAAAAAGUGUAUGGAGACCCCCUCAUCUAUAGACAAUUUUUUUGUUUUAAAUUUGAUAGCCAUAUUAAUUAUUAGUUAUUAUUAUUAUUUUUCGAUUUUACGUGUUAUAAGAUAAGUAAAAACUAUCAAAUUUGAUGAAAAUUUGAAAAUUUACAAGAGUUGAGGGGGCUCCAUGCAUUGUUGUUUCUAUUACUCAAAAAGUUAUUUCUCUCUCUUUAUAUCUCUCAAGGGAUCUUGUGCUAAGAGAAUAUUCUUUGUACUUGUGAGUUGGGCUAUGGACCAUUUAAAGCUCAUAUAUAUAUAUAUAUAUUUGGGGCAUGGAUAGGAUUUGGAUAAGAUUUUAAACACGAGUAUAUAUAUGUGUUAUCGAAAUUAUUUCUGUAUCGUCUCGUAUCACGUUGAUUCAGUAUAUGGAUCGAUCAUAAGAUAUCAGAAUCAGUUCUAAACUACCACGCGUGAUUCUUAGAGACCUUCAAACUGCAUGCGCACUAGCACGACUGCAGACGAGAAAUCGAGUCCAACUUCUGGAGAUUGCAUCUUCGUAUUUACUCCAUCUUCAUGCAUACUCUAAUAAAAACGUCAUAACUUUAUUAUAACUUUUUAGAGAACGGCAUUUUAAUAUAUAUUUUAUUUAUUCAACGCUUUUCUUACAUUUAAAAGUAAGAUGUAUCCCUCACUCACCUUUGAUUAAAAUCUUUAAUAUUUUUAAAAUUUAUAUUCGAACACCACGUAAGAUCCGAAGUAACACUAAUUUUGCUACGUGUCCAAAGUAACACUAAUUUACAAAAAAGUAACACAUCAAAAUUGCAUCAUUGUUCGUUUACUUGUGCAAAUAAUUAAUCAAAGUAAUAACAUUAAAUUAAAGAAAUUAAUAUAUUAAAAUUACAUCAUUGUGCUUUGCUUUGCCGACACAUGCACUGCUAAUAGUCGUUGAAUUUAAUUAUUCCUAGAUUUUUAUAAAUAUACUAAAUUGAUCUAUUUUGUCAUCACAUAUUAAAUUUUAUUGAUAAAAAAUAUUUUAAAUGCCGAAUAAGUAAUUUUUAAACCUACGUAUGCACUAAAACACUAACUAAGUAAAAUUUAUUAUUUAACAAAACGGAUAAUUAUACUUUUCCAAAAUGAAGAUCAUUUUAAUAAUAAAUAUUCUUUUUGAGCCAUCAAUUUUUCAAGAAAAAACUUUAGAUACACCCCUCAUGGAUUACCAUUUUUUUACUUUUGUAUUCUGUAGUUUAAAUUGUACCACUUAAGUAUGACUUUUUUCUUAGUUUUUCAUUACAUUCCUUUAUCUUCUUCAUUAAAACCGUCAUAUACCGUAGCACAUAUGUUGUAGAUCCUCGCUUCUUCGUUGUCGAGAACUUUCGAAAAAUGAUCUAGAUUAACAAGCCUUAAGGGGUCCGAUACUUUUGUUAUUAGUUUUUUACGCCUUGUUAUUGAUUUCUAUAAAACAUCUUCAAUGUACAUGCACGACACAUAACGUUUUUAACAUAAGAGAGAACGUAAAUGUUAGCAAAAGAUGAAAAUAGAAAUUACAAAGUAGUUAAUUGAUACACCUAAAAUUACUCGAUAGUGAAAAAUCGGUAAAUGAAAAGAUCAAGGUAUGCAAAUUUCUUUUUUUUUUAUUCUAUUAAAAAAUGUUGACUCAACACCUAUACGUACCCCAUGAGAUGAAACAAGCUAAUUUUAAAUUACUAAAAGUUGAGAGGGUCAAGUCCAAAGAAAAAUUUUAGCAAAAAUUCAAAACUACUAAUGCAAUCAACCCAUAAAAAUGCAUAUAUAAGUUGGUAUUUAAAAUAGAGCAAUUAAUUUAAUUCAAUUUUAAUUAAUACAUGAGAUCUUUUUGAGAUUCAUGCCUAUAUAAAUAUAAAUAUAAACAUAUAUUUGCACUUCAAUAUAACUGGUCAAACUUUCACACUAAAUUAAUAAUAGUUUUAAAAAGCAAGUGGGGUGAAGUGACUCUUCAAAGAUUAUAGGAAAGACCCAACUAGCUAUGUUAGUAAUAUUAUAAAAGAUUUAUUACGCUUAAAUUACUGGCUCAAAAUAUAUAAUUUUAAAUUAUCAAUGUUAAAGUUUGAGUUCUAAUUAAUAUACCAAAAUAUUGUCCUUAUAUUAUGAGAUAUAUAUAGAAAUAUUUUGUGCCGCACGUAUAAUAUCUAAUUUUUUAUUUUUCAUAGUUUUGAAAUUCGCUAGUUGUUCUCAUAUCAUAUGCAACGACGCCCUAUUUACUUGGGCUAUGCUACUGGUCUAGUAUGUUUAAACUAAACUUGCUAGUAACUUAAUAUUAAAACACUGGUCCUUAUAACUUAAUAUUUAGAAAAAAUUAAGUUUGAUUAAGUCACUCUUUAGUCUCUACUCUUCGCAAUUUAAUCUUCAUGAGAAGUACAAUUAAGUAUAAUUAAAUAACAAUUAUGCAUAUAGAAAUGAAGAUAUGUGACUUAGUCAUAGUUAAUUUAGUGGGUCAAAUAUUUGAUGGUCCCAUAUAUAUAUAUAUAUAUAGAGAGAGAGAGAGAGAGAGAGAGAGAGAGUAAAGUUAAGAGUACUUCGGAACUAAUAGGGGUAUCUGAAUUGAUGAUUGACGCGAUUAAACUUGAUUUAGAUUAUUUGAAUUACUUCAUAAGACUUAGAUUUCACAACUUUCUAACAUUUUUUGUCGAGUAAUUAAGUGAACUUAAAUUCAUCUUAUAUUAGCCGCUAAAAAUAGCCACUUUUAAGACCACUUGACACUUAAACAAUAAAAAAUGACAUAAUGACAUUGACGGAUCUUCAAAUUCAUAUCCUAUGAAGUUUAAAUAGUUCAAAUCAAUUUUAACAGUAUCUAUUGAUCACUGAUUCGAAUAAAAAGUUCAAAUAGUCCAAAUCAAUUUUAACAAUGUCCAUUAGCAAUUUGAGUACUCUGUUGCCGAAAAUGACAUGGAAGAAAGCAUUCCCAUUUACUUUAGAAGUAUUUCUAGUUUUGCUUUCUUUCUCUAUCUUUCUCUCUCUCUCUAUAGAUAGUGUGUGCGUGUUUUUGUGUGUCUUAGUCAUAGUUAAGUUAGUGGCUCAAAUACUCAAUGGUCCAAUACUAGCUACCUCUCUUAUGUCUUGAGAGAGACACAAAGGGGGUGAAGCAAUGAAUAUACCUUUCUUCAUCUCUUAGCUAGCUAGAGUGUGAUGUUAAUGUGAUUGUAGCCCCAAAACCAAUUGCAAUAGAGUGCUAGUGUUGCAUCUGUUAGGAUUUGGUUAGAUUUGUAGUUGAAUCCUAUUUAGAUAAGAAUUAAUAUUUAAAUCUGUUGAAGUAAAUUAAGAUUUAAAUAUUAAUUAGAGGAUAAACCUAACUAGAUUAGGAUUAAUAUUUAAAUCUAUUAGAGAUUGAUUAAGAUAGAUUUACAUAUUAAUUGGAGUAGAAAUCCUAAAUAUACUAGAAUUGGGUACAUUCUAGUUGGAGGAUUAUAAAUAAUGCAUUGGGUAAAUUAAUUUGGAGAAGCUGUGAGGGUGUACGGCAGGAGCUUGUGUGGUGCCGUACCCGAGAGAGAGAAAAAGAGAAAGAGAGAGUUAUUUAAUUAUGCUUUGAGUACACCUAGUGCACGGGUGCAUGUGAAGGAUUGUCUUCUUUAUGGGUUUAUAGAAGACGAGAGAAGGGUAGAAGAGAUUCAGAAAGAGGGCUCGGGUUGUAGCUACUCUGUGCAGAAGAGGAGUCAGGUGUAAUCUUCUCUUAUUUAAUGAAUCUUAUUUUACCUGCAUAUUUUUCUCUUUUAUGAUUGUAUCAGCUUUUGCUGAGGAGACGGGUUUAUGGUAAAAACCCGAUUCAACGCUUCCGUUGCGGAAUCCCAACAAUCGAUACCGGAUCCACAGCAGUCGGUAUCGGAGCGGGUUGCGGAUUCACGAGAUCCGGUACCGGGGCGAGUACCGGAUUCCCAACAGCAUCAAGAACAUAACUUUCUACGUAUAGCCAUAUCCAGUAAGUACUUAUUUCAUACCUAAAUUCAGAUCUCGAAACAAAGGUUGGUAUAGUAGGUAUUGCUUAUAAUGCACAAAUUUAGAUCUUUUAUUAAUGAAUUUGAUACGAUAACAUUCCGGCACGUGGAGAAUAACGCAUUCUCUGCGAUAGAAAAUAUCUCUUGCAUAUUUGACUUGAUCAGAAGUACGGACCACGAACCUUAGCAAAGUGAUCAAGCACAUCGAAAUUAUGGUUAUGAACACCAAUUAAACAAUUCGUCUCAUUAAACUAAUCACGAUCAUAUAUCAUGAAGGUGUGUGAAAAGGAUUUUGCUUUGCCAUGCACUUUGAAAAGUUUCAUUGAAAGAGAUUUGCCAAAUUGAGACUUCAUAUUAGGUUUUCAAAAUUGAUGUGAACUUGUGGGAAUUUAGGUUCCUUGUUGUUGUUAACUAACUUAGUAUUGGUCCAAUUUACGAUUAUUUUAGCUUUGAUUCUGACUUAGAAGCGUUUUUUUGGUAACGACAAAUAAUAUGUUUUCAACAAGACUAUUUCUAAAAGAAGCAAUAUGAUUGUCCCAAUAAAUGCUUUAUCUUUAGAACAACAAUUAUGUGGUUAAAAAAUAAAUAUUGUAGCCAGUAAUUAACUGGUGAAAAUGUAUAAAAACUUACUUUUUUGUAGGUCAUUUGGAAACAAUUAAUAUUGCAAAUAAAAUUUAGUUUAUUUGAUUCCAACCUCUCAACUAAUAUCUUAUAUAUCCUAUUUAUGUUCGAAAACUCUAUUGAAAAAAAAGGAUUAAUUUACAUAAGUUCCUGCAAAUAUAGUGAAUGACAAAUAUAUCUCUACAACAUUCAACUUGCAUAUGUUGUUUCUAUAAAAGUUCUAAGAUUUUCAAAUAUGUCCUUUUGGUUUGUUACCAUUAGAGAACCAUUUAUAUUUUCAAUUUUGCCAUCACAAAUAUAUUCUUCUAAAAGUCAUAACAGUAUGAUAUAAAGGGGUGAAAAUGUCAAAACUAACCAGAAUUAAAUAUUUAACCUAUGGUUAACUAAAAUUUUCUAAUGGAUUCUAUCAGCAGAGAUAUAGUUAAAAAUAUCAGAACUUUUGUAGGAACGACAUAUGAAAAUUGAACUUUGUAGGAAUAUAUUUGCGUUCACUAUGUUUGCAGGGAUAUGUAUGAAAUUGAUCCUAAAAAAUAAUGAUUUUUUUCUUUCUAUAUAUUUAAUCUAAUAAAAUAUUCUAAUAAAACAUUCUAUAAUUGUUUCGACAAGAUAUGUGAAGUACAUAUAGAAUUAAUAAAAAGAGAUCUUUAUAAAAUCAAUCAACACAUUCUAUUAUUUAAAAUUCCCUAUAUUUUUAUUUGGGUUAAAUUUUAGUGUAUACUUUUAAAUUUUAAAAGAACCUAUACAUCCUUCUAAAUUUUUAGUACCUAACAAAAAAACCUUCUUGUGAAUGUAUUGUCAUCUAUAUAAGAGUUAAAAUGCUUUUCUCUUUCUCUAUUUUUAUUUUAAUUGUCUCCUUUAAUUUUAUACCACACAUACGUAAUGUAAUCUCAAUCUCCACGUAUACUAAUGCUACAAAAUGUUGAGAGUUUACUAAUCCUUUUAAUUUUUUAGUAAAUUAAUAGAAAAAGUGAUAAGGCAACGGAAGAAAAGAUAGCUAUUUGAUUCAAAUUGUUGUAAAAUUAGAAUACAAAGUGGUUUACAAAUCUACCACAAUAUAUAUAUAUAUNAGAGAGGUAUUUUUGCAAGGUAUUGAAAAUUUAGAAGGAUAUAUAGAUUAUUUUAAAAUUUUUUUAAAAAUAUAAUAUUGAUUAUUUAUAAAUUUUUAAAAGGUCCACUAGUAUUUAUUCCUUUUUAUUUUUAAUUUCCUACUCUCUAAGGCCAUUGGGCUCUCUUAGUUUCAUGAAGGUCAUAAUUGGUCUAAAAUGGGUUUCCAUAAAGUGUAUUGUUUCAAGUUGGGCUUUGGAAAAUGCAAGAUCUAAUCUAAUCUCAAUUCAAAAUAUUUAAAAAAUAAAACUUUGUAUACACCAAACUCUUGUUUUGUAUUUGCCACAUGUUCAAGUUCCUUAGAAAUGUUACUCUUUAAAAAUAUUGAUGUAUUGAUAUAUAUAAUAUAGAGGUUUUCUGAUUUAUUCAUACGAUUGUUAGAUGCUUCAUACGUCAUACGUACGUAUGUAUUUUUUAACUGCCCUCAAAGAUUACUGACAGAAUUUACCCCUUUCGUUAUUCAGUUUACCGUAAAUUAAAUUCGUCUGUAAUUUCAUUUUAACCGAACAUUAUUAUAACUUUUGUAUCCUCUUACGUACUAGUACGAAAAUUUAAAUAGUCAACAAAAUAAACCAAAAAAUGGAAUAAUUAUUGUGAAAUUUUUCAACAAAAUAAAUUUAAAAAAAUAAAAAUAAAGUGAUGCGUUUGCCGGGAGUCGAACCCGGGUCUAUUGCUUGGAAGGCAAUUAUCCUAACCGUUGGACUACAAACGCAAUUAUAGUUUUAGGUUAAAAUGGUAAUGUAAUUUACUAAAUGGAUUAUAAUAAUUCACACUAAAUUACUCUUAAAUCAAUUAAUACCCAGCAAAAAAUUAUACAAAAAAAAAAAAAAAAAAACAUGUGACCAACUCAAUCUGCAACGUCUCGUAGAAAUUGAGCAACGCCCCUUUUAUAACUCGCCUGUAUCAAAUACUAUUUCACCAUUUCUUAUCAAUUCAAUAUUGCUCGCGUAAAAAAUCAAAAAAUGUUAAUCAUUCGAACCAAAGUGUCUACCUACAUUGUAGAAGCUCAAUCUUGGGAGCUAGAACAUGUAGCUCGCGAACGAAGCGACCCCGACGACCCGACCCCGAGUAAUCUCAAGGUGCGGGAGCACGAAAUGAGUCGGAUAGACCGAUCUCCAGAAGUUAACAUCCCGUAUUCGAACUAGAGAUGUCAAUGGGUAUGGAUAUCGGAAAUUUUAUUCGAACCCGAAUCCGAAUUAAACGGAUAUAUCCGACGAAUAUGGAUAUGGAUUCGGAUUCGGAUAUGGAUAUCAAAAAUAGAAAUCCGACGGAUAUGGAUUCGGAUAUGGAUUUUGACUGUAUCCGACCCGAACCUUAACCCGACCCGAAUCCGAAUUUAUUUUGUAUUAUAUAUAAUAUAUAUAUAUAAAUUUGAUGUUAUAUUUGAAUUUGUAUUUUAAAAAUUUAAAUUUAAUAUAAUAUAUUUUGAAAUAUUGAAAAAAGAAAUAAUUGUUUCGGGUUCAAAUUUUCGGGUUCGNGUGUAGAAAUAUCCAAAUCACGUGAAAUUUUGAUAGAAAAUUCUUUAUACUAUAUAAAACAAGAUCAAUAUCUUUGAUUUAAAAUUUUAAUGUCAUACUAUUACAUUUUGUAAGAUUUUUAUUUUCAGCCAUUGAUUUUGAGCCCCUUCGAUCACUAGGCAAAUGAUAUCAUAAAAUCAUAAAAUUUAUUUUCUUGGUACUUCAAAUACUCUAGAUCAAGUUUAACGGAGCCGAUCGACGAUUCGAAAGUCGCAACAUCGAAAACGAGCUGGAAGCACAGAAGGUUCCGUGCUUCCGAUAGCAUAGUAGCCUCACUCUAUAUAUAUAUAUAUAUAUAUAUAUAUAUAUAUAUUAAUGGUGUGAUUCUUGGCGAUCGCAAAAAAGAAAAUAUUAAUAGAUGAGUGAUGAAAAGUUAAAAGAGAGGUAUUUUUGCAAGGUAUUGAAAAUUUAGAAGGAUAUAUAGAUUAUUUUAAAUUUUUUUUAAAAAUAUAAUAUUGAUUAUUUAUAAAUUUUUAAAAGAUACACUAGUAUUUAUUCCUUUUUAUUUUUAAUUACCUACUCUCCAAGGCCAUUGGGCUUUCCUAGUUUCAUGAAGGCCAUAAUUGGUCUAAAAUGGGUUUCCACAAAGUGUAUUGUUUCAAGUUGGGCUUUGGAAAAUGCAAGAUCUAAUCUAAUCUCAAUUCAAAAUAUUUAAAAAAUAAAACUUUGUAUACACCAAACUCUUGUUUUGUAUUUGCCACAUGUUCAAGUUCCUUAGAAAUGUUACUCUUUAAAAAUAUUGAUGUAUUGAUAUAUAUAAUAUAAAGGUUUUCUGAUUUAUUCAUACGAUUGUUAGAUGCUUCAUACGUCAUACGUACGUACGUAUUUUUUAAGUGUUUUAUUUGUUUUCUUUACAUACUAUGAAAUUUACCCCUUUCGUUAUUCAGUUUACCGUAAAUUAAAUUCAUCUGUAAUUUCAUUUUAACCGAACAUUAUUAUAACUUUUGUAUCCUCUUACGUACUAGUACGAAAAUUUUAAAUAGUCAACAAAAUAAACCAAAAAAUGGAAUAAUUAUUGUGAAAUUUUUCAACAAAAUAAAAAAAAAAAAAAUGAAGUGAUGCGUUUGCCGGGAGUCGAACCCGGGUCUAUUGCUUGGAAGGCAAUUAUCCUAACCGUUGGACUACAAACGCAAUUAUAAUCUUAAAUUAAAAUGCUAAUGUAAUUUACUAAAUGGAUUAUAAUAAUUCACACUAAAUUACUCUUAAAUCAAUUAAUACCCAGCAAAAAAUUAUACAAAGAAAAAAAAACAUGUGACCAACUCAAUCUGUAACGUCGCGUAGAAAUUGAGCAGCGCCCCCUUUAUAACUCGCCUGUAUCAAAUACUAUUUCACCAUUUCUUAUUGAUUCAAUGUUGCUCGCGUAGAAAAUCAAAAAAUAUUAAUCAUUCAAACCAAAGUGUCUACCUACAUUGUACGUAGAAGCUCAAUCUUGGGAGCUAGAACAUGUAGCUCGCGAACGAAGCGACCCCGACGAUCCGACCCCGAGUAAUCUCAAGGUGCGGGAGCGCGAAAUGAGUCGGAUAGACUGAUCCCCAGAAGUUAACAUCCUGUAUUCGAACAGAAGAGAUUCAACAAUCGAAAUUCAAUUUCGGCGCACGAAAAAAGAAGUUAGAAUUUGCAACUGAGUACUAAAUUUUGAGGUGCCAUCACAGCUAGUCUAAAGUCGGCAACCGUAGGGCCGGCUUCCUCUGAACAAGCAGAGGCUCUCGAUGCCGGCAUUGUUCACCAGAUGGUCCACUAAUAAGAAAUCAAAGAAAACCAAGUCUUCAUUUAAAAGUGCAAAAAGAAAAAGUUUUGUUUAUCUUUAAAAAAAAGAAAAAGAAAAACUUCAAAUAUCCCAUUGUGGUUUCUCUCUUUCUCACUUUAGUAUCCUGUGAUUUAAAGUGUAUCAAGUUAGUACCAUGUGAUUUCGCACUUUCUCACUUUAGUAUCCUGUGGUUUAAAGUGUAUCAAGUUAGUACCCUGUGGUUUCGCACUUUCUCACUUUAGUACCCUGUGUUUUAAUAUUUUAUUAAGAAAAAAAUAAAAUCACAGAGUACUAACUUGAUAUAAAAUAAAACCAUAUGGUACUAACUUGAUGCAAAAAUAAAACCACAGAGUACUAACUUGAUAUAAAAAUAAAACCACAGAGUACUAAAUUGAUACACUUUAAACCACAAGGUACUAAAGUAAGAAAGUGCGAAACCACAUGAUACUAACUUGAUACACUUUAAGCCACAGAAUACUAAAAUGAAAAGAACGAAACCAUAGGGGAGGUUUUGAAAUUUUCCCUAAAAAAAAAUGCAUGAGUAAGAGGAAAACCGUAAAUUUUUUAUAUCUAAAAGCUUAACCUUUUAAAGUAUAACGAUUAUUUCACAUGAUAUCAGGACAGGAAGUUUAAAUUCGAGAUAACGGUUACUUCACAUAAUAUUAGAGCAGAAGAUUUUAAAUUCGAGUGAUGCCAGAUUCCUAAUAUUUUUAAGCUUUUAAAAUAACAACGAUAAUUUUACAUGAUAUCAGAGCAGAAAAUCUUAAGUUCGAGUCACGCCAGGCGCCUAACAUUAUUAAUUUUUUUCCAUUUAAUUCAAGUUCACAUCAUGAUCAGCAUAUUUAACAAUAUAAAAUUUACACCUAAUAAAUAGUAACUGUACAGGGAGUGUUACUCUUUAUUCUAUUAAAAAAAUUACUUUAUCCUUACUCCCUAAUUAAAACAAGUGCACAUAUAUAACAAAAUAUUUUUGUAUCCAAACACUUUUACAAAAUUACCACAAAAUGAUCGAAACACACGAGUCUCGCUCCAAAAAACAUCCUUUAUUUGGCACAUCUAUUUACCGAACCAGUGACAUUUACAUUAUGUAAUUUUACUACAAACAUACAUGCAUAUAUACACAUCCAGGUUUUGGUUAACUUAUAUAUGAUACUGAUGCUCUCAUUUCGUUGAUACAACACCUGGAAUUCGCAAAAACACAUGCUUCAAAAAAAAAAAAAAAAAAAAAAAAAAAAAAAAAAAAAAAAAAAAAAAAAAAAAAAAAACUUUGCUACUCGUUUUUUAUGUCGGGGGAGUGCGAGGAGGAGGGGUAGAGCACGGCCUUGGCGCUGCUGAGGUCGAGGAUCGUCUUGACGGGGGCGUCGCCGGGCGGGGGGGGCGACGUAGAGCACGCGGAAGCACCAGUCGAACACCUCGGGCGCGAACACCCACCACAGGUGGAGCACCCGGAACCAGGCCGGCACCGUCACCCGCCGCUCCCCGCGCCGCGCCGCCUCCACCAUGCACCGCGCGCACUCCGCCGCGUACUCCAUCGGGAACAGACAUACCUGCGCCUGCAUUAACGUGCAAAACUUAUCUGAAGUAAGAACUAUUUUAGAUUUACGACUACAUAGUUUUUUAAUUUGUUUCAUUUGAAUCAAUCAAUUGUAUUUUAAUUAACUUCAAAAUUUAAACUAAUUACUUAAUUAUAUUUAAUUUCAUACGUAUAUACUUGUAACUAGUUAUUUCAUUAAAGUUUCGUCCAUUUAAUCUCAUCCAUAUUUUUCAUUUUAUAUUUUUUACACAUAUUGUAGCUAUAAUAAUGCACGCGAGGUUUUGGAAGCAUUUUGUAGCUAUAAUAUGCAAGUUCUAAUUUACAUUUUACUAGAGUUAGCCACUCAAUUGUGUUUAAUUCGCCCUAAGAUUUGAAUAAAUCAUUUUUUUAGCAAUUUGAAAUGGGUUUCGAAACUUUAAAAACUUCGCUUUAAUUCAUUGCCUAAUUUUAUCUUAACCAUCACAUUUUGUGUUAUUACUUGAUAGAUUAUUAUUGAAGUUUUGGCGACAAAAAUGACAGGAAUCAAAAAUCAAAACUUUUAAAAUAUGGAUGCUUAUUUCAAAUUCAAAUUGCGAUUUAAGGAGAUUCAUAUAUAUAAAUUCACUUGCUCAUUUCAAAUUCAAGCUUCAAAAAUCUAUUUUCCUUGACAAUUAAUUUCAACAAAAUUGAAUUCAGCUUUCCAAGCAAGAAGCUCACGUAAUUUCGCUUCCGGCCCCAGCGAAAAGCUUCAAAAUUAAAUAGCCUCAAAACACAUUAUUUUCUAUUUUUGGUUUAUCAAAAUUUCUAUUUUUUUUUUCUUUGCUAAACAUUUCUAGCUAGAAAGAAACUUUUUUUCUCAUUGACAUAAACUUUGGUGUAUAACUAAAGAAUUAAAUACAAGUUUAGGGAAACUAAAACUACAUAAAAUCCCAUAAAAUCAAGUUUUUCGAAAACAAUAUAUUUAGUAGAGAGGCUUACAUCUCUCAACUCCUGGUUAAUCUCCAUCCUCCCAUCCUUGGUUAAGAACUUCCCUUUCGUCAUCUCGGAUUCGAUGAAGCUGGGAGUUGCAAUCGUGAUUCCGACCUCGUUGCCGAGCUCGAUCCGCAACGUCUCGUAGAAGUUUAUGAGCGCCGCCUUACUAGCCUGUGUUUGUAAACACCUGAUGUUAAAUAUAAAAUAUAUAAACAUCCUUCUCUGAUACCUUAAACUAUUAGAGAUAAAUGAUUAUUUCGUAUUAUUUAAUAUAGUAUUCUACCAGCGUAAGCUUUUUAAUUAAUACCCAUAUUAAAUAAUGAAAACAAUCGUUUUCUUCAAAAACAAAAGCUGAUAUAGAGAAUGAUAUUUAGAUAUAUUUUUUAUUAAACACCUAAUAGUUUAAGCGGUAAGGCGUGGUGUUGGAAUUUCUUAGUUUAUCGGUUUGAAAAGAAUAAUCCAAGAAAAUACCACGUGAAUUUUUAAAAGUAGAAGGUAAUCGAUCAAUCUUUCAACCAACUACGUGUUGGCUUAAAUGGGCCAGCAUCCUGCCCUGUGGCGGGAGGCCAUGUGGGCCGAGUCAUGUUCGAAAUGGCGUGAGACUGGGUUGGGCCGAGUCAUGUUCGAAGUGGCGUGAGGCCAGAUGGGUCGAGUCACAAUCGAGACCCGUGGGCGCUGUUUCUGUACGCUUUAAGUAAAUUGGUUGCGUAUUUCUAAUAGCUCGAGCUUUUAGGAUUAAUGGUUAGCGCCAACGAUUCGACACUACGUACUGCAUCCCAACUUUAACACAAAUUCUAAAAAUGUUGUUAGUACGUGACAGUCACAUAAACAUUGAAUCGAAGAAAAGAAUGUUUGAGAUUGCUCACAUUGUAGAAGCUCUGCCUUGGCAAAGGCAACCACCCAGAGGCCGAGGAGUUCACUACGAUCCUCCCUUUGGUCUUCUUGAGGUGCGAAAGCGCGUAAUGCGUCGGAUAAACCGAUCCCCAGAAGUUCACAUCCUACAUACAAUUAUAUAAUAUAUAAUAAAUUACGUUUGUGUAUAACACAUAGGUUGUUGACAAUUAUACACAAAGUUGAGCUUAAUCAAACUAGAAUUACGAAUUGAGCUUGAAAUUUUCGAUUCGCCGAUUCUAAUCAUAUACGCAUUUACAUUUCAUUACCAUUACGGGUGUGAAUUUGGUUACAUCGGGAGCCUCAUCGAACAAGCAAACGUUCGCUAUGCCCGCAUUGUUAACCAGAUGAUCCACUAUACUCCGUCGGAUCACCAAAAGUUCGCAAAAGAGAUCGAACAGAAAACAAAAUAGUUAAAUUAGACAUAACUAGUACUCUCGACAAAGAUCUGCAAAUCGAUUACUUUGUGGACCACUUACGACGGCCGAAGUGCGCGAUGACGGCGCCAACAAACCGUUGGCAAUCCUCGGGCUUGGCGACGUCAGCUGGAAUGACGAGGACGUCCGGCAACCCCAGGUCCCGCGCCCUCUCCGCCACCUCUUGGAGGCUCCCUUCUCUCCUCGCCACGAGAACCAAUGCCGCCCCCUUCUUCGCAUAUUCGUAUGCUAGUUGCUGAGAAUGUAACAAUUAUAUAACAAGAUAUUUGAAUAUGUAUGUAAAAAUUAAUGUAUAGAGAAAAAAAAAUGAUCAGAGCUCAUCUGAACUUUAGUGCAUUUUAAAAUAGCCAAAAUUUUAAAAAGAGUAGUUUUAGUACAUAUUUUGAUGAUAUUUUGAUACUAAAGUAGUUGAACCAUAAAUGUUCUGAUUCCAUAAAGUAGUUCUUAUAUUGUUUACAGAAUAUAUCCAUCGGACUAGCAAAAUUUCCAUCAAAUUAUAAAAUAUUCCAUAAAAAAUGUUAAUAAUAUACUAUGAUAUUAUAUAGUAUGGUAGAAUCAUUAACUUCUGAAGCUCGUGUACGCUUAUUUAAAUUACUUUAUAAACGACCCCGCCAACUAGUGCUAAAGACUUGUUAGACCUGAACCAGUAGUCCAAAAUGCUUUAGCUCAGAGAUCAGUUCUAGUGUAUUAACCACAAAUAUAUUAAGCCUUUCACACACUAUCAUAUAUAUUUUUAAUGUGAGAUUAUUGGAGUGUUGUGUACUUCUCCUAUUUUAGGCCCUAACAUUUUUGUCAGCUCAAUUAUACAUAGCUCAAAAUCACAAGAUAAUAUGAGGCUCACCGUACACUUUUGACUGGUUAACCAACUCUGAUAUCAACUGUACCAACCUAACCCACUAACACUAAAACUUGUUGGCUGGAACCACUUGCCCAAAAUGGUAUUAAUUUGUGUUAUAUAUAGUAAUUUGUGUUAUGUAAAGUGUAUAUAUAUAUAUAUAUAUAUAUAUAUAUAUAUAUAUAUAUAUAUAUAACCAUAGCCCUUCGCAAGAUUACAUACUCCACAAAGUCUAAUUUUCUUUCAUACCCUAAUAUUAAAAAGCUCAAUUUCUUACUUAUAAUGCUUAUUUUAUACUUAGAACUUAUUUGGCGUUACUAUAGAAAAUAGUGUUGUUUAAUGAAUUGCUAUCUGAGUAGUAAUCUUCUAUAUUAAUACCCGCCAGCAAGGGCUACUUCUGUCUGUGUAAUACUGCAAGAGAAGCUUCUGCUUUUAAAGAUCACAAUGCGAGAUUUUGCUUUACAUUACCAUUAGUUGAAAAAAUAAUCAGGUACAAUAAACAAAAACAGUCGUAAAUUGUUACUAUAAAUCUUACAAUAAUAAAUGACUAAAUAAUAUGAUUCGCAUUAUCAGAACAGCACAAACUAUUAUAGUAAAAUUGAUUUAACAAAAGUAACCUCGCCGAUGCCAGAGGAGGCGCCGGUGAUGAGAACCACCUUGUGGGUCAAGUCCUCGGGGAAGAGCGAGUACAAGAAGGAGAGGAGGAGCUUAUACAAGUAGAGAGGAGGAACCAACAGGAACAGAGCUACUAAAGCCAUGGGGGGAGCCACCACGUUCAUUAGCUUGUUGAUCAAAUCCAUGGUCAUGUGUUCUUUUUCUUUUCUUUUUUUUUUUUUGUGUGUGUGUUUGGAGAAGAGGAGAGGAGGUUUCAAGGAGUGUAGAGUGUGGAGAGGGAGAGGAGAAGCGUUAUUAUUAUUAUUUUAUUAUUAUUAUUAUUAUUAUUAUUAUUUUGCUUGGCACGUGUGCGUGCAAGCAUGCAUGAAUGAGGGGACACGUGGAGAGGGGGUGGGCACACGUGCCAAAGAGUAGCAGUGGUUUGGAAUUAAGAACUCAUCAAUAGUUAUCCCGAACGCAGUUUCUCGAUCAAGUUAUUACUAUAAAUAAAUUAAAAUGUAUUAUAUAUAUUUUUUUUUUUUCAGAAAAAUAAUAAUUUAUUAAACUUUUUCAAAGCCGAGAAAUUAAGUAUAAUCAUAUUAAUAAAAAAUCUCUUCAUUAAAUAAUAGUAUUAGUGACAAUACCCUUUUUAAGAUCAUAGAUUUUGCAUGAAAGGAUUGUUUGUAAUGGCAACCAAAUUCUAUAAUUUAAACUUUAGUGUUUGAGUCUUAUAUAAUAGAGAUAAACAGGGAAAAAGAAAAAAAUCGAACUCUAUAAAAUUAAUUUUAAAUGAUUGAUUAAAAGUUUCAAGAUCCACAUUUCCUAUACCAUAUCAAAGAACAAGAAAGCCCAUAAUGCAAGUGUGGACAUAGAAGAGUUUACGUAAUUUAGCAAACAAAUAAAUCUUAGUUCACGUCUAAUAUAUAGUUUCUAUAGUUUAUAUAUAAUAUAAUAUUAUUAUAUUUACAAAAUAGCUAUAAUAAUGAUACAACAAGAACCGCAAAAUAGAGAAACCCCACUAAAAUACUUGUUUACUUUCACAUCAUUUCCGGCAAUAUGACAUACAUCUGAAUUGACAAUCUAUACCGUAACUAUUUUAAUAUUUUAUAUUUCAAAUUUUAUAAUUUUUCAACAUAAGUGGCCCGAAUUCAAGUAGUCUUAAAAUUGACUACUUUUAAUGACUGAAUUUGAGACUGUUUGAUCGCGGGGCAAACAAUGUCGGAAAAAUACAAAAUUUGAGUCUUAUAAAGUUUAAAUAGUCUGAAUCAUGUUUAACGGUGCCGAUCGUCAAUUCAAAUGCCCCAUCGCCGAGAAUAACACGAAAGUAAACGCCUCCGUUUACUUCUAGAAGCAUUGUAUCUGUACUCUAAAUAGAGAGUUUAGUUUGCUUUCUCCAUCUUUUUAGCGGGAAACCGAAGGAGCAAAGUACAUGCAGAUCGGCGGGUUGAUCCGAAAGAUCGAUAAUAUGGCAGAAGGAACGGUCCAGAUCCCGUCGCCGCAGAUCAAGCCGGAGGCGACGGCACCGGCGUACUCGUCGGCCUCCUUAGGGUUCACGCGCUCCCACAUGAACAAUAUCACCGUCCCGACGAACAUGUCGAUCGCGAAGUACGCCCCGAUGUAGAAGGGAAUCGCCACCGCCAUCGGUAUCGGAAUGAACUUCGACACGUUCUUCGGCGCGACGUCCCUCAAGAGGUUGACCGCCAAUGCCGCGACGAAGAAGCCAGCGCAGAUCGCGAGGCAGUGCUUGGGGAGCGCCGAGAAGCCCUCGAUGCCGAGUAUGGCCAUCUCGCGGUAGAUGACGGCGUAGGGCGCCUUGUACACGCCGUCGGGGGCGCCGAUGUCGAAGGCGGUCCAGAAGAGCCAGAACGUCAGCGGCGCGAUCAGGCAGCCGAGCGCCGUCCCCGCCAGCUGCGACACGAACAUCGACCGCGGAGACGAGAAAGUGAGGUACCCCGUCUUGAAGUCCUGCGUCCGCGUAGGCGCGAAAACAGAUCAGUUGGUGACUACAAAAAGGCGUUUUUGCGCGCCAAACAUGUACUAAAACCAUACAAGUAGAUCAGAAUACAGUUAAGUAGAGAAUAAAACCAAUUUUAGUUUAUUCUGGACAUAAUAACUGCUGUUGUAUUUUGUUAUAUGAAUGCGCAUUCACGUAAUCAAAAUGGAUUAUGCGGAUAAUGAAUCUAAAACUCGAGUUUGUAAGCUAGAUAGGGCAGAUAUUUAUAUUCUAUACCUGCAUGAGGUCGGCGGCGGUGGACACGAUGGACAUCAUCACGCCGCAAGCGGCGAGCCCGGCAAUGACGCCGCCGUUCUUGCCGACUAAGGAAGCGAAUAUGAAGAGGCCGAUCUUGCCGUAGGUGGAGGCCAAGUUCCAGUCGGUGAGGCCUGUGCCGUAGGAGUUGCAGAAGGCGAGGGCGGGGGCCACGACGUAGCACGCGAGAACGAGGUACCACUUGACCUGCGGGAAGAUUGUCGGUAUGGUCGCUGUGGAUAUUGCUGCGAGUGCGACGUAGCCGGAGGCCGCGAGCCAGGAAGGUAUGCUGUCUUUCACGAAGAUUUCGUUUCGGAGCUUUUCCUCGUUCGGCAACUGAUCAGAGCUCUCCUCAGCUGUGGAUAUGAAUUUAAAAAAAAAAAACUUAAUUGGAUGCGGUAAAUUAAACUACAUAACGGCCGCGGGAUAACUUUACGAGGGUAUUUGCACAAUUUCAUAUAUUUGCAGAGUUACAUAUGCCAAAAAACAUAACAACAAAAAACAAAAACAAUCCACAAGCGUAGAACCAAGUAAAACAUUUUUUUUUUAGGACGGGUCUUCUUGAGAUGCACCUCUUCCCUGCCAUUGGAUCUCAUCACUCCAUAAACGUAAUGCUUUAAUAUUUGUACGGAAUAAAGUGUCGUGCUAGAGAAAGGUGUGUAUAAAAAGACCAGUCUGAUAAUAGGAGUAUGGCUCCACAACCGGCAUUGUGCUUACCUUUUGCAGAUGUUGCGACAAUCGGAAGAGCGUCCUGCUUUGAGCGCGCGUUCAUUACCUCCUUUCCAGUGAUCAGAAUUAUCUUAAUCAAGUUGUAAAGGCCGUCCCCAAGUAUUAGAGAUAUGGCUAUAAAAACCUGCGGCGGAGCAUACACAGAUUAGCAAUUCCGUCGAUAUAAACCAAUGAUAGGAUAUGAGAAGUUUAGUAAAGCAUGGGAAGCGGAAUUCGCCUGGUUCAUAAAAAGCCAUAAAAUGUUGGCUGUAAUCGCAACAACGUACGAGUGCUUAUAUUUCAUUUGAUGCACAAUUUAGUUUCUUCAUUCAUUUUCUUUUCGGUCGCACAUUAGAAACAGCAUGAUGAUACGGUUCGCGCAACAGAUCCAACCUGUUUGUAAUCCGGUCCCUAAAACUAGAACAUUAUUUGUAUAAAAAAAAGGAUAGAUUUUCACAUACACCAGGCUAAAAAUGUACAUUCCAAAUCAGUGCAAAGUGCAAAAUUUUAUCAAUGAUCACACAAUACACCCGAGCUAAUACAAUAUUAUGAGGAAUUGAGCUAGAAUACUUUUAGAAGCACCACUUCCUUGGUGCUUCUAAGUUUUUAGCCCUUGGAUCUACUUCUUAAUUAUUAAUAGCCUUUGGAUCAAACACUAUUCCACCUACCACCAUCUACCACCAUCAUUCCAACCCUACAUUUCUUCAUCCAAAGGCUAAAAACUCAAAAGCACCACCUCUUUGGUGCUUUUGGAAGUAUUCUAGCUCAACUCAUAUUAUGAGUGCCAUUUUCAACAUUUUGUAGUUUCUUCUCAUAAGAAAACUAAGGAAAAUCUUGUAGUCAUUUGACUGUUCCAAAAUGCUUAGCAAGAAAAAUCGCGAAAAAAGUCGAAUUCAUUGAACUAAGGCUAUUAAGAAAACUAAGGAAAAUCUUUUGGAAGUAUUCUAGCUCAACUCAUAUUAUGAGUGCCAUUUUCAACAUUUUGUAGUUUCUUCUCAUAAGCAAACUAAGGAAAAUCUUGUAGUCAUUUGACUGUUCCAAAAUGCUCAGCAAGAAGAAUCGCGAAAAAUGUCGAAUUCAUUGAACUUGUGAUAGUUUCGUUUUCCAAUUCAGAGAGGAACACAUACCAAGACUAUUGCAAUUCAUGGAUAAGAUACAACGAAGGUUGCGCUAAUGGCAUAAGUUUUUAAAACCAUAUAUGAUGUGUCUCCUAAUUCAUUCAUUCAUUCAUAUCAGUAAGAUAAAGUUGUUGCUUUUAAGGCACUACAUGUGUAUUUAUUACACCAUACCUUGUACCCAUAGAGACCUCUGAAGUCAUUGCUUCCGAGGUUAUCAGGAUACCAAUCGCCUGCACGUGCGGUGAUGAAUGGCCAGAGAAUACCCCACGAUAUAAUGGCUCCCAAAAGAACAGAGCAAUUAACAAUAUGAGGGCAUAUAAGACCGCAUCCAAGAUAAGUGGGACUGAAGUCAAAAUAGAACCUGAAACAAUUUAGAAAAAAUAACAAUAAUAAUGGUUUCAAUAAUAGCACCCUCUACUAGUGUGCUAUUGACAAUUGCAGCUUCCACGCUUAACGUAAAAUGUUUACUGUAGGCAAGUUAGAGAUCAUAAUAUUACUACUCAUGAAUAGAGGUGAAUGUAGAAGCUGUUCGAUCGAUCCGUCAGUGAAAAAGGAAAGAUCUGCGGAGGAGAUUAAUGCACCAAAACUUACGUGUUCUUAAAUGCUUCAAGGCCUAGUGUAGGAAAGUUGUCGAAGCCACAAGAAUCCCCAACACCACUAAAGAACCACUUGAAGCAACUCCACAAGAAGCUAAUGCUCAGAUACUUACCAAGGCAAUGAACUUGCUUUCUGCAUUACAUGUAUUCCAUGUAAGAGGUAUCAGAGAUCUAAUCUGCAAGCAAUUAUUCAAUAACCUUUCUAUUUUUUUUAAGAAAAAAAUCAACAUAGAUGGGUUAUCGGAUCAGCAAGCAAAUUUAGAAUAGUCGGGAAGAAAAAAAAAAAAUCGCAAAUGACUAUGAAUAUGAAUAACUUUACAUUAGGAAACAUUUACCACUUUAUCUUACUGUUACCUGGCAAGCUCAGCUCCAGUAUUAGUAUGAAAGCUGUUUAUAAGCAGGGCCGUUGCUGUCCCACUUGGAUAUGUAAGCUUAUAAUCAAUAACCAUCACCUACAAUACAUGACAAGUUCAUUAAAAUGUGGUCAAGAAGUGUCCCUUAAGAAAUACAUAAAAUACAAACUAAAAACAUCGAAGAGAUAUAAUAUAGCUAAACAUACAAAGAAGAAGCGCCUUAAAGUAAACUGAAGUAAGAGUUGUGGAUACCUUCCGUAGUGCGACGAGACUAAAGAGCCCAAGGAAGCUAACGACGAACAUGAAACCAAUCAUCCAACCCAAGGAAGGAUUUUUAACAUCUUCCGCCCUGUUGCCCGGAUAAUCUGGUCCGAUAAGUUCAUACGUUCUCUGAUCCAUCGAAAGCAUAUACGACCCAAAGCCCCCUGUCAACUAAAGUGUAAAUUAAUUGAACCUUUCAAAAAGUUAAAAAUAGCUUUCCUUAAAAAAAUGUUAUACUUUUGGAGAUCAAAAAGAUAAACUCCAAGCCACAAGUUAACAAUGCCAACACUGCAAGGCCAAAAUUUAACCAAGAUACAAUGAAUUGAGCCUCAACACUCUUCUGAAGCAUAAUUUAUGUGCAUAAAUCACAUUUUAAUUGAAAGUACGAAGAGGAAAGAACCAAUAAGGAAAAAAAAUCUCAAUUAGAUUGUUAACUGAGUCUAAUCCAUCGUCACGUAGCCAAAGUUGUUCUACAUUUGAUUAACUCCUGAAUGAGGCUUGAAACUGGUUAAAUUUGUCGAAUUUGCCUGCUUAUCUGCUCAAAUUGAAUCUUAUGUUGCUCUGAUCGAUGUCGAUUGAUCACUUUUGGAUUGAACCCCUAAUUGGCUACUAAUAGUAGUUUGGAUUAGCCUCGUAAUAGAACAUAAUUUAUUUACGAAGUUCCUCUCCAUUACGAUCAGUACAACCCAAAAUCCCAUUUUCACUCAACACAAAAGCAAUUUAUUCAUUUAAUCAGUGAUUCAAACCGUACAUAAUCAAAUUAAAUAAGAAAUUCUAAUAUACAACCCAAUUUGAAUCAAAAUUACGCAACAAAUUCACCAAAAAUCAAAGCAAAUUGAGCAAAAUUACCGCUAAAAGCCAACCCAUAGCACGCGACCACGCACGUCUGGAUCACCGUGUUCUCCUGCUUCGUGAAGGGCUUCGUCACGAACCCUAUCCUCUCCACGAACCCCGUCCAGCUCUUCACAAGGAAGAACCCGAGGAGCCCCGCGGCGACAUUGAGAGAGGGGAUGAUCCCCACGGUGAGAUUGAGCUUGUGCGUGAUGACACAAAAGAGCGUCCCCAGCAUCGCGCUCACCACCAACCCCCUGAUCGUGAUCUGCUCCCUCCACGGCGGGAUCUCCUCCUCCUCCGCCGCCGCCGCCGCCGCCCCGGGAGAAGGAAGCAGCGGCUCCCCGAUCUCCGCCGCCGCCGAGGUGACCUCCGUCCCCAUUUGGCGAUCGCUUAGGGUUAGGGUUAGGGUUAGGGUUGCUUCGGGAGAGAGGAGAGAGGAGGAGGAGGAGGGAGAAGAUUGGGGACGAUGACGGUUGUGUUUGCUUUGAACGAGACGGUUGAGGCCAAAAUAUAACUUCUUUUGUAUUGGAUCCGGAUGUAUACCGGAUGUAUACUAUUUGGUGCAUCCGCGUCGUGAUUGGUCCAUUCUUGUGGGUCCCACGAGAGUAUCUGGAGCUGACCAAUCAGAGUCCAGGAGAACCGUGUUUGCUGUUGAGCGCUGAACAUCGGUUGAAGCUAUAUCUCUUUCGCACUGCACCAGAUCCGCUGUUGGUAACGUCGAAUUCAGUUCGGUACGUCCUCUGGGUUUUUAUUGGUUGAACUUUGUGGGGCCCGCGAAAAUGUUUCGUGUUGGCCAAUCAGAGAGAAGGACAAUCACGUUGCUGUUGUGGGUUGUACGGCGCAUUUGGAUUCUGCGCUAGUAUUGUUUACGCCAGGUGACGGUACGCGGACCGAAAAUGUACCCCAAAGCGUGUGCUGGUCAUUAUUAAUUUUAAUAUGGGUAAACUUUAAAUACCAUCCCUGUGAUUUCGCACUUUCUCACUUUAGUACUAUGUGGUUUAAAGUGUAUCAAAUUAGUGUCCUAUGAUUUUAUUUUUAUCUUUUCAUUAGUUUUUCCGUUAAUAUUCGUUAAAUUAUAUACAAAAAGCUUCAGAUACCUCACCUAGGUUUAUCGAAUAUUCACUUUAAUAUCAUUUAUUUUUAACUUUAUAACUGAUUUAACGAAAAAAAUUAAUAAAAUUGAUAAUAAAAAGAUAGAAAUAAAACCACAAAGUACUAACUUGAUACACUUUAAACCACAUGAUUCUAAAGUGAGAAAAAGCAAAACCACAAGGGGGGUAUUUGAAGUUUUUCCUUAAUUUUAAUGAGUAAACUUUAAAUACCACCCCUAUGAUUUCGCAUUUUCUCACUUUAGUACCAUAUAAUUUAAAGUGUAUCAAGUUAGUGUCUUAUGGUUUCAUUUUAUCUUUUCGUCAGUUUUUCUGUUAAUAUUUCGUUAAAUUAUAUACAAAAAGCUUCAGAUACCUCACCUAAAUUUAUCGAAUAUUCAUUUUAAUAUUCUUUACUUUUAACUUGUCACUGAUUUAACAAAAAAAUUAAUAAAAUCGAUAAUAAAAAGAUAAAAAUAAAAUCACAUGACACUAAAUUGAUACACUUUAAACCAUAGGAUACUAAAAUAAGAAAUUGUGAAAUCACAGGAAUAGUAUUUGAAAUUUUUUUAAAAUAUUUUAAGAUUUUAUAUAUCCAAACCUGAUCUAUCAGCUAGUUACUUCUAUCAACUUAAAGAUGUUUGAAAAUAAUAUGUAAUAUUUUAUAUUUUAUAUUCAAUGAGAAUAUUUUUAAAGGAUUUAGAUCAAUAACACUUUGAUAAUUAAUAUAAAAUUAUAAUUCGGCUGAAUUUUUAUAAGCAUAAAAGUAUUUAUCUUGUAGCCAAUCUGAUAAUGAGUAAAUAUUGUAUUCGUCGCAUCUAUGUUUUAGAUAUUUAUACGACGAUUGAGCAUAUAACUAUAACUAGUUAAGGGACCCGCGCGAUACUGCGGGUAAUUUUUUUAAAAAUUUAAUUUUGAAAAUUAGUUAUAAAAAUUAAUUUCAGAAUUUAAAUGAUGCAAUAAGUACAUUAAAAAAUUUUAGUCGGCAUAAGUAGUCCCCCAUUAGUUAGUGAAAUAAUUUUAGUAGGUAUCGUAGUCCCCCAGUAGUUAGUGAAUGAGAAGAGAAAUCAUUGUUUGUGAUUCUUGCAAUUAAUUUUUGUCAAAUAUAAAAUUAACUUAAACUGCAUCAAUUUUAUUUUAUUUUUUAAUGUACAAUUUAUAUGUGAAUGCUUAAUAUUAUAAAAUUAAUAUUUAUAUCUAAUACCAGUAGUCUAAAUUAUUUAACAUUUAUUUAUAUAUUUUAUAUUUUAUAAAAAUAAAUAGUAAAUUAUAUAAUAANAUGAAUUGUGCUAGCGGAGGGCUCGGCCAUCGACGAAGGCGAAAACGUAGCGUAGAAUAGAGUUUUGGGUAUACAAGAAGCCGCGAGGGAUCGUUAUAUAGUUUUCAUCUGGUAGGUCUUCUUACUUAUGAUGCCUGUUCAGUGCAUUCCUCAACCAACUCAAUUAGAGGACUAGUUAUCCCCGCGGGACACGAACUUACAUGAAACUCUACUUUGAACACAAGUUCACUUUCGUUAGGAAUCCGCUCUAACACUUUACGAAGUGGGAAAACAACCUUCUUUCUUUGGAAAUUGAAUUUAUUCGUUACCUUCCCCACCUGACGCCCUGACCUCUAACUAUUACUAGGAUAUUGAAUCUCGCAAAUGAAAUAAGACACAAAUCAAACUUGAGACUUGCGUGGUACUUUCAAUCGUCCGUGGAGUUGCCUUGCCGGCGUGAUCACAGCCUUCUUCUUUGUAUGCGCUGCGCGCUUGGAAGCUACAGUCUGUCUUCUGCCAGUUUCGCGAUAGCUCUUGAGAGCACGAGUAUACUUUUUGUCUCUGCCCUAGUGGAACGAUUCCCAGAAUUUACUGCUCUAUGGAAGACCAAAGAAAGCCCUUCGAGGGAAAGGGAGAAUGAUCCACAAAGAUAAAAACCCAACGAAAGAUCACUGACCCACAGAACUACGACAAAUGAGUGGCGUAUGAGCGAAACGAGAUGAAACUGAAGACUAAGCCAUUCGUGACUUUGAAGUUGAUACAUCGCCCAAAGUGGGAGAGAUUUUGUCUGAUCCAUGUGACCAUACUGAUACAACCAAGCUUCCUUGAAAGCAAACUUCUCUGUCAGAGAUCCACGAUCCGGUUGAUUGCUUAUUCGACUCUGCCUUCUCUGAGCCAGAUCAAAGGCUAGGGCAUUGGCUCACUGAACCUAACAAAAAUCCAAUCCAAAACUUUGAUGGCAUCACAGGAGUGCCAACCAAAUCCUGUGGUUUCAUAUUUUUCUUAUUCGAUAAAUCUAGAUAGGGUAUCUGAAGUUUUUUGUAUAUAAUUUAACGAAAUAUUAACAGAGGAGCCAACGAAAAGAGAAAAAUGAAAUUACAGAGUACUAAAUUGAUGCUAUUUAAACCACAUAGUACUAAAAUGAGCAAGUGCAAAACCACAGGGUGGUAUUUAAAGUUUUUUCUAAACAAAUAAUGACUUUGAUUUAUAAUUGAAAAGU